AAUACCUCCAAAGAGGAGAAGAAAGAAAAAGGACUCACCUAGCCAUGAAAAAGAAGAGGCACUCUCUAUCAUUGCCCCCUCUUCCUUCCUCUCUUUCCUUUUCUUUCUUUCUUUGUUCUUAUUUCAAGAAAGUAUUUAAGAUUUAAUUAAAGGUAAGUGUAACUAAGUAUAAAUAUUCAAGAAAUAUUUUAUAUGUUGUAUUUUCAUGACAUAUGCUUCCAAUUUAUCUCAUGUAUUUAUAACAUACAUGUUUAUGUGGUGAAUUUGAGGGUAAUCAACAACUCUACACACAUCUCUUUUCUGGGUUUAGGUUUUUAAUAAUUUUCAUGCUUUUCUAUUUUUACAAAAACUGUAAAAAAAAUUAUGGUUGUGUUCUUUGUGGAAUUCUAAUAAUUUUAGGCUAAAAUUCAUGAAAAAGCUUCUGAUUUUAGUUAGUUAUGGCCAUUAAAUUUAGGGUGUCUACAGAAUCCAUUUUGCAAAAUAGCAGGAUUUUGGAGCCUAUAUUAUUCUGGAUUUUUAAUCUUUCCUGUGUUUCUUGAUUUUAAAAAUAAGCUCAGGAUCUUAUCUAACUUUUCCCGUUAGUUUCAUGUCAAUACAUUUUGUGGUUUGUGAGAUACGCCAAUUUUAAAAUAGUAGUGUUAAUCUGUCUCUAAUGUGAAAUAGUAGUGAACCCUGAAUUUUGUAGAUUAUUGGAUGAGGUCUUUUUAUCAAUUAUUAAUUUUAUAAUUUUGUAUGAUAUAUUAGCACGCUUCUAGAAUUUUUUUGUAAUUUUUGUAUAUGUUUUGAUGACAUUAAAAAUUUAAAUUUCAAAGUAUUGUAAAUCUACCUAGAUCUAAAAAUUUCAU
RNAcentral lists this unclassified non-coding RNA (845 nucleotides) under Hevea brasiliensis (rubber tree). The record is from RNAcentral. Lineage: Eukaryota; Viridiplantae; Streptophyta; Magnoliopsida; Malpighiales; Euphorbiaceae.